GCGGCGACCUGGGCACGGCAGGAGGUUGCGCGGCCGCGCCCCCAGUCCAGGCCCGCGGUUCCCCGCGGUUCCCCGCGGUUCCCCGCGCUCCGGGCUCGCGGCAGCGGCUCUGCAGGCCUCGGCCCCCGGCGCGCAGAUCUGAUGAAGCCCAUCGAGUGUUCUCCGAGUGCUGAAGCAGCCUUGCACCCUGGCGAUUAACCCCACUGGGUCGUGAUCUGAUGAAGCCCAUCGAGUGUUCUCCGAGUGCUGAAGCAGCCUUGCACCCUGGCGAUUAACCCCACUGGGUCGUGAUCUGAUGAAGCCCAUCGAGUGUUCUCCGAGUGCUGAAGCAGCCUUGCACCCUGGCGAUUAACCCCACUGGGUCGUGAUCUGAUGAAGCCCAUCGAGUGUUCUCCGAGUGCUGAAGCAGCCUUGCACCCUGGCGAUUAACCCCACUGGGUCGUGAUCUGAUGAAGCCCAUCGAGUGUUCUCCGAGUGCUGAAGCAGCCUUGCACCCUGGCGAUUAACCCCACUGGGUCGUGAUCUGAUCAGUCACAUGGAGUGUUUGACAAGUGUUGAACCAGCCUUGCAUCCCGGGGAUAAAUGCUACCUGGUCACGUCUGCAGAACAGGAAUGCUGCCCCUCUCUACUGCAUUAGCAGGAAAAGAUCUCUGAGGGCAAUUUAGAAGACCUGGUGUCUGUUUCCACGAUUGCCCUUUCCAAGCUGGGUCACCUUUCCUCACUCCAUGGGCCUUUGUUCUGUUAUGUGUGCUUGAAUAGCAGACAGUCGUCAACCAGUCUCAUACAGUAUAAUCUAGUUGGAAAUCUCUGAGCGCAGGACUUACACGACAGCCACCCCGCCCCGGAUCCCCUGCCCUGCGUGCCCGCUCUUCGUGGUGCUCGCCACCUUGUGACAUGUUACAGAUUUAUUCAGUCAUUGUCUCUUCCACCUGCGGAGGAAGACCAAACCCUGUGGAUGGGGGCAGUCGCCUGAUGUGUUUUGCCCAUCGCUGUGUCAUCAGCGCCUGCGUCAGAGCGUGUCGGAAACCACAUGAAGCUCGUGGUGAAUGUUUCUGGAAUGAGUUAGUUAUUAGGAUCCAAACUGUAUUUCUGGGUAAUAAUUUAGAGAUCACUAAAAACUAAGUUCCUAUGAUAAGGGUUUUAGGUGUCUGCCAGUCGGCUUUAUGACGUUCUUUGGUUUGCAUGAAAAACUCUAUUCCUCCUACAGGAUAGAAUUCGAAGAGCAAUUUAUAUUUAGAAGAUGUUUAUAAUAAGCCUUAUGGGCCCAGUUUAUCGCAGUGAUCUCUUGUUAUUCAAAUGCUAUAUUUUCUCUAAUGUAGAUUGUACGGUUGUGCCUGGGAGGCAUGUGCACUGCAUGAAAGUAGGAUCUGUGAGGCCCUCUAGCCAUCAUCACACCAUAUGGCUAUUCCUGUAGAUACUUACUUAAACCACAAAAUAUUUGCACAUUGCUUUCUUUCUUAGCAAGUAGAAAAUAUACAUGAUAAUAAAAAUGUUACCUGAUAGAAGAAAUUUAAUUUAUUCAUUUCACAGUUAAGAGUCUGACAAUGAGAGAUCUGUCCUAAAUGGCUACCUACUUAUGCAUCAUGCUUAUUAUAUGUGUCAGAUUGAAAUAUUUCCCAUAAUCCUGGUAAGUUGAGGAGUAAGGCCCACCUGAGCGCGACCCGAACGCAAGGGCACGAGGCUUUGCACGAGGCGUGGUGCAUGGCAAUUGGUCUUUUCUGUUUAUAGUCACUCCGGGGUGGGGGCCGGGUCUGGAGUGAGAUCAUCUCCUGUCCUGCCUUCCGUGCUGUUUGUAGGUGGACACCUCCCACAUUUGUCAUUCUCCCACUGAAUUGUAUAUCCAACUACUCAUGUAACCUCUCCUCCAGUUUCUGCAAAUAAACAUGAUCUCACCACACAUACUCCUCUGUAUUCUUCACCCCUGUGACUUGACUGCAAGGCUGUCUUCCCAGUUACUCAGCCUCCAGACCUCAGAGUUGUCUUUAAUUCCUUGC
This is a long non-coding RNA of Canis lupus familiaris (dog), 1994 nucleotides long. RefSeq lists it as uncharacterized. Lineage: Eukaryota; Metazoa; Chordata; Mammalia; Carnivora; Canidae. The transcript is spliced from 8 exons. The record is from RefSeq and is a predicted model, not a curated record.